UACAGAGGUCUCGAGCGUUGUUCGGAUUCAUUGGGCGUAAAGGGUGCGUAGGUGGCGCCGUAAGUCGGGUGUGAAAUUUCGGAGCUUAACUCCGAAACUGCAUUCGAUACUGCGGUGCUUGAGGACUGGAGAGGAGACUGGAAUUCAUGGUGUAGCAGUGAAAUGCGUAGAGAUCAUGAGGAAGACCAGUGGCGAAGGCGGGUCUCUGGACAGUUCCUGACACUGAGGCACGAAGGCCAGGGGAGCAAACGGG
Molecule: ribosomal RNA, 253 nt
Filed under: uncultured bacterium
Lineage: Bacteria
Description: partial 16S ribosomal RNA
Rfam family: Bacterial small subunit ribosomal RNA
Source: RNAcentral